AAAAAAAAAACCAAAUUUAAGACAUUUUCAUAGAAAUCACAGAUCGAAUGCCCUUCUGAAAAAAAACUCAACAAAGAAUAGAUUACAUGUUUAUCGCAUCUGGGUAUGCAAAAAAACUCAAUUUUGACAUCAUUAAUUCAUUCAAUUUUUUUUUCCUUCAAAAAUGGAUUUUUUUUCUCUGAUAAAAUUUCCCAUUAACCAACUAAAUGAAAACUAUCAUCGUUGCAUUUUACCAACAAAUACAAAAAAACCCCAUUUUUUCUUUUCACUGAAAAUCAAGGAAUGACAAAAAUGAAAGUUUUCUCUUUUCAGCAAACAAUAAGGGGGCAAAAACCAAAUCCCAGAUUUUUUUCUUCAGAGAAACCAAACAAAGAAAGAAGGUGUAAGAAGAUGAAGAAGAAGGAAUAUGAGAAGAUCCAUUUGUUAUUGUUGUUGUGAACAACCUUGUGAGACGAUUAGGUUGUUGUUGUUGAUGAUGAUGUGAAGUUUCUUUCUCAGAAAGAGUAACACCAGAACGGCUAUUAUGA
RNAcentral lists this long non-coding RNA (527 nucleotides) under Trifolium pratense (red clover). Its description in RNAcentral is "long non-coding RNA (TPRA_LNC011087)". Lineage: Eukaryota; Viridiplantae; Streptophyta; Magnoliopsida; Fabales; Fabaceae. The record is from RNAcentral.